UAACACGUAGGGGCCAAGCGUUGUCCGGAUUUAUUGGGCGUAAAGAGCUCGUAGGCGGUUCGGUAAGUCGGGUGUGAAAACUCUGGGCUCAACUCAGAGACGCCACCCGAUACUGCUGUGACUUGAGUCCGGUAGGGGAGUGUGGAAUUCCCGGUGUAGCGGUGAAAUGCGCAGAUAUCGGGAGGAACACCAGUGGCGAAGGCGGCACUCUGGACCGGAACUGACGCUGAGGAGCGAAAGCGUGGGGAGCGAACAGGAUUAGAUACCCUGGUAGUCCACGCCGUAAACGUUGGGCACUAGGUGUGGGGUCCUACCAACGGAUUCCGUGCCGUAGCUAACGCAUUAAGUGCCCCGCCUGGGGAGUACGGCCGCAAGGCUA
RNAcentral lists this ribosomal RNA (379 nucleotides) under uncultured bacterium. RNAcentral's name for it is "bacterial SSU rRNA". It matches the Rfam family "Bacterial small subunit ribosomal RNA", at positions 521 to 896 of the family's 1533-position model. The record is from RNAcentral.